UUCCCACUCUUAUAAUAACAUUUUAAAUUUUAUAUCAUAAUUUUUUUUUCACAAAUUUGUUUCUUAACACACAUAUUUUCCCAAAAACAUAACAUUUCACAAAAACGAAAAGCAAAAUGAGUGAGACGAUUCCGACGACCUAAUCGCACAAUACACCGCCGUUCAAUCCUCCUUCGCUAUUCAAUCUCCUCCGCCACCGUUUAUUCUCUUUCGCCGCUGUUUAAUCUGGAAGCACAAUCCGUCAAUCUCUCGGUUGUUCUGCUUCAAACCCUACUCCGUCGAAGAACCAAAACACCUCCGCCGUUCUCUGUCGUUCUUUGCAUUUCCAAGAGGAUGAGGAGGGGGACAACCAUGAUAAAGAUACUUGUGGGAAGGUCAUUAUACGUCGUAUUUGUACCAGGUUUACUCCAAGCCAUGUGGUUGCUGCAGCGAUUAGGCGUGUUAUAGAACCGACUUUUUCAGACAAUAUCACUUGCUAUAGUGAUAUCACCCUAGAAAAAGAUAAAACAAUUUGGUUUGAAAGAUUUGGAGUAAGACAUAAUUAAUUUUGUGGUGAUUUGAUGACUUUGUUGAGCCUAUAUGUAACAAAUUAUUAUUUUAUUAUUUCUGAUGUUAGCUUCAUGGGCAUCCCACCACGCGCAACAAAUUAAAACCACAUUUCAUAAAAAAUGUGGCAAACGUUUGACCGAUAUUCUUACCAAGAUAAGGAAGAAGAAUAAAAAACCCGCGUGGAUGAACACGGAUAGAAGUAUAUGAUUAUUCUUAUGUUAUAAUUUCAUGCUUUUAGUUGAAUAAUCAUAUAGUUCAUAAGAAAAUAAGAAAACAUAUGAUCUGUUAUAUUGGUUAAAGUUGAGGUAUGAUUUGUUCAUAAGAAUGAACAAAUAGUUCACUGAAAUAAGUAUCUACAUGUUCAGAUUUUGUAAAGAAAGAAAUAAACAAGUGCCAAAACUUGAAAGUGCGUAAUUAUUUUAGAUUGGUCGAUACUACCAUUAGCAAGAAUUAUAUAUAUUGUGAAAUGAGAUAUAAGGUAUAAUAGUUGAAACUCUUAAUAUAAAAACAUUGUUGAAGGCUUCAUGGGGCUGUUUUGUUUCAUGUCAAAUGAAUUUCAAGAGACUUUUGCUGCUGCUGUUUCAAUGCUUUAGUGUGGGUGGUUAUAUGCUAAUGAUUUCUUGCUUCAAUGCUUCUUGUGUUAUGUUUUCUAUUAUCAUCAAUUGGAAGUAACAGAGGUAUUUUUGUUGCAUCUGAAAUGAUAUUUGCUGCCAUGUGAUUGUGGCAUUUCCUUUUUUCUUUAUUUCCUUGUAUAUCUUUAUACAUUAUUGAUUUAAGAUUCAACAAUUAUAAUCAUGUUCAAUGUUAAUCUUAUAAUUUUGCAUUCGCAGGGCAUUCUUAUAAACUCAGAAUGUUGUGUUUCUUCUAUUCUUUUACCAUGCUGAAAUAUGGUACAAUGUCUUUGGUAAAAAAUUCAAAUAUGGAAAGAAUUCAAAUAUGGUAAGAUGUUUCCAAGGGUAAGUCUCGGGGAAUAUGUUAUGGUACUGGACACUUGGCUAAACACCUUAAGUAUAAAAACUUGAUUUAUGAAUCAGAGGCACCUCACAAUAGGGCAGAGAACCAGAUCAUUGAAGCUGCUAGAGCUGAGGCUGCUGCAGCACGUGCAGAUGCUGAGGCUGCAAGAGUUGAGGUUGUUGCAGCACAUGCAGAUUCUGAUGCUGAUGCUGCUAGAGCCGAGGUUGCUGCGUCAACUGCGAGAACCAGAUCAUUGGAAAUAAAGUUUGAAGAAUUCCAAAGUUGCAUGAUGGCUUUGGAGACGGCCUCCUGUAGUUGUCAUUCUCGUUAGAGUUCUCAUCCUCAUUAUAAUAAUGAAUUGGAUGAUCAAUCGGUAGAUGAAGAGGAAGAUGCUUGAUUUUGUUGGUUGUAGACUUUGUGGGUUAUUUUGAUGGUAAGUUUAAGAGCUAUUUUGAUAGGUUAUAUAUUUUGUGGGUUGUUAUUUUGAUGGUUGUAGACCUUUUUGUUGACAUUCUAUAUAUAUGGUUAUAUAUGAGAAAUAGAUGGUCAUGUUAAGAAUUGAUGAAUUUAAAUGGAUGUAGACCUUUUUGUUGAGAUUCUAUAUA
Molecule: long non-coding RNA, 2108 nt
Organism: Trifolium pratense (red clover)
Lineage: Eukaryota; Viridiplantae; Streptophyta; Magnoliopsida; Fabales; Fabaceae
Exons: 3
Source: RefSeq, a predicted model, not a curated record